GCGGAUGUGGCGGAACUGGUAGACGCGCAGGUCUCAGAAGCCUGUGGGAGCAAUCCUGUGGAGGUUCGAUUCCUCUCAUCCGCACCA
RNAcentral lists this transfer RNA (87 nucleotides) under Blastocatellia bacterium. RNAcentral's name for it is "tRNA-Leu". It matches the Rfam family "tRNA". Rfam says of the family: Transfer RNA (tRNA) molecules are approximately 80 nucleotides in length. Their secondary structure includes four short double-helical elements and three loops (D, anti-codon, and T loops). The record is from RNAcentral. RNAcentral also lists the same sequence under 1 other name. Lineage: Bacteria; Pseudomonadati; Acidobacteriota; Blastocatellia.